Solanum lycopersicum (tomato) is the source of this 1001-nucleotide long non-coding RNA. RefSeq lists it as uncharacterized. The record is from RefSeq and is a predicted model, not a curated record. NCBI's taxonomy places the organism in Eukaryota, Viridiplantae, Streptophyta, Magnoliopsida, Solanales, Solanaceae.
UAAAAGAACUAAUUCCUAGACUCAAAUUACAUUAGAUUUUAAUAAAAUAAUUUAAUAAUUCUAAAAUAGCUAACUGUUUUAUUUUUGCAAUAUCGUGAGAUUUAUAUUCAAUGAUUCUCCAUCAACGAUUCAAUUUUCCGACAACCAAAAUCCAACUAUUCUUCUUCCAAAACAACAACCAGAAACCAACCAUUAAACCACCCUUGCUCUGCCGUUUUCUCCCAGUCUAGAUACACCCCAAAACCCCAAACCCCAUUUUCAUUCUUCUUUAACCAGACAACUUCAGCCACCCACCCAGCAGCAGCUGAAACAGCACUAAACAACAACUCCAAACUCACCGAAAAAAGCCACAAACUCCAUAAAAACCCACCAGAAAACCCCAUCAAAACCCCGUCCAAACCCCCCAUUUAUCGAGCUCCACCAGCUCACUACCGGCAAACGGAACCAGACCCACAACCACUCGAACAAGCUGAAACACCACCAGAAUCGGAACACCAAACAACAAUCCCGCAAGCUCCGAGCUCUAACACGCCAACAAUGGUGCCGACCCGACGGACCACCAUUUCUUCCUCAACGUUAGUAACUACGGUAAAUGAUAGCUCACUAUAUUUUUUCUAUCCUUCAUCGUUUUUGUUUUGUUUAUUCUGUGCAUUUCAGAUCUGGCCGGAGGGUUUCAAACUCCGGCCAUUGUUAUUUUCUUCUUCAUGUUAUCAAGUCACUGAUAUUUUGAAAUUCAUCCAAAGUCAAACUCCAGUAGCAGGUACACGAAGCUUCUUCCCAUUGGAGCUAUUCGAAUAAAGUUCGAAUCAUAUUGUUUAGCUACUAUUGUAUAUAUUAUCGAUGUUAGACAACUUUUAGGUCGUGUCUUACAUUAUUAUAAUUUUAUUUUAUUACUCAUGUAUAUUGCAUGUUAUUAUAUUUGUAUAUUAUUUUUAACUUCUUCUCAAUUUGAUAAAAUAAAUUCAGUUGGGAUCCAUAGUUGUGGAUUUCAAAGGAUGCCU